RNAcentral lists this microRNA precursor (111 nucleotides) under Dinoponera quadriceps. RNAcentral's name for it is "microRNA dqu-mir-281 precursor". Its record names the gene dqu-mir-281. The stretch from base 7 to 92 matches the Rfam family "mir-46/mir-47/mir-281 microRNA precursor family". Rfam says of the family: The hairpin precursors (represented here) are predicted based on base pairing and cross-species conservation -- their extents are not known. In this case the mature sequences are expressed from the 3' arms of the hairpin precursors. Lineage: Eukaryota; Metazoa; Arthropoda; Insecta; Hymenoptera; Formicidae. The record is from miRBase by way of RNAcentral.
AAGGUGAGGCGCUUGCUAUGAAGAGAGCUAUCCAUCGACAGUAUGGUAAUGAUAGACACUGUCAUGGAGUUGCUCUCUUUGUGGACGCCGCUCGAUACAACGUUUCAACGA